RNAcentral lists this ribosomal RNA (199 nucleotides) under Thiorhodococcus drewsii. RNAcentral's name for it is "partial 16S ribosomal RNA". It matches the Rfam family "Bacterial small subunit ribosomal RNA", at positions 334 to 525 of the family's 1533-position model. RNAcentral also lists the same sequence under 1 other name. Lineage: Bacteria; Pseudomonadati; Pseudomonadota; Gammaproteobacteria; Chromatiales; Chromatiaceae. The record is from RNAcentral.
UACUCCUACGGGAGGCAGCAGUAGGGAAUCUUCCACAAUGGACGAAAGUCUGAUGGAGCAACGCCGCGUGAGUGAUGAAGGUUUUCGGAUCGUAAAACUCUGUUGUAAGGGAAGAACCAGUACGUCAGGCAAUGGACGUACCUUGACGGUACCUUAUUAGAAAGCCACGGCUAACUACGUGCCAGCAGCCGCGGUAAUA